GGGCGCGUGGCGAAAUUGGCAGACGCGAAGGAUUUAGGUUCCUUUGGAGCAAUCCAUGCAGGUUCGAUUCCUGUCGCGCCCA
This 82-nucleotide transfer RNA is filed under the name Methylacidiphilales bacterium. RNAcentral's name for it is "Candidatus Methylacidiphilales bacterium tRNA-Leu". It matches the Rfam family "tRNA". Rfam says of the family: Transfer RNA (tRNA) molecules are approximately 80 nucleotides in length. Their secondary structure includes four short double-helical elements and three loops (D, anti-codon, and T loops). The record is from RNAcentral. Lineage: Bacteria; Pseudomonadati; Verrucomicrobiota; Methylacidiphilae; Methylacidiphilales.